RNAcentral lists this unclassified non-coding RNA (291 nucleotides) under uncultured fungus. Its description in RNAcentral is "partial contains small subunit ribosomal RNA, internal transcribed spacer 1, and 5.8S ribosomal RNA". The stretch from base 1 to 73 matches the Rfam family "Eukaryotic small subunit ribosomal RNA", at positions 1759 to 1831 of the family's 1831-position model. Lineage: Eukaryota; Fungi. The record is from RNAcentral.
UCAAACUUGGUCAUUUAGAGGAAGUAAAAGUCGUAACAAGGUCUCCGUUGGUGAACCAGCGGAGGGAUCAUUACCGAGUUUUUCACGCUCACCAACCCUUUGCGAACGCUACCACGCCGUUGCCUCGGCGGUGCGGCCCCGGCCAACGCGCCGGAUCCAGGCCCCCGCCGGAGGACCGCGAAACCUCUGCAUCUCUGGAGUCUCUGACGCGGCCUCGCGCCGACACAUUCUAAAUGAAUCAAAACUUUCAACAACGGAUCUCUUGGUUCUGGCAUCGAUGAAGAACGCAGC